AUCAUCCCUGAGAAUGCUAUAAUGGAGGAGCUCAGAAAGAGGGCUGAGGCUGACAAGAACCACAAGCCUGUUAAAGACUUGGUUCUCUUGCUCUUUGAGACAGCUCUCCUUACCUCUGGGUUCAGCCUUGAGGAGCCCAACACCUUUGGCAACAGGAUCCACAGAAUGUUGAAGCUUGGUUUGAGCAUUGAUGAUGAUGAUGAAGCGGUUGAGGCUGAAGACAUGCCUUCACUGGAAGAAGCUGAUGCUGAUGCAGAGGGUAGCAAGAUGGAAGAAGUGGAUUAAAUGUGUUCUCUUCUACUGCUUGCCAAUCCAGUAUUGCUUCUACUUUCUUUUAUAAUAUUAUUGCUUACUAAGUUUUAGUUCGUUAUGGGACUUGGAGAAACUGAGAAUGUUAGGAAGAUUAUGUGAUUUCGGGUUUAUAUAAUCCAGACUUGUAGUUAUUUGUUCUUCGAGUCCUGAUGCCCUGGUUAUCUAGUUUCAAGAUGCCUAAAUCACUGUGUUUCAUGGAAAUAUCAAAUGCCUUUUUGGAGUGCCACACAAAAUCUCUCUUUCCAGUUUCCAAUGCUCAACUGAUUAUCUGUAGGUUAUAGAGUACUUGUUUUUUUUUGUGUGGAUAUGUUAGACUACUACCAUUGCUGAUAACCUUGUUAGGUGGUGUUAUAGAUGCUGCUGUUGUGAUUUCUAACCACCCGCCCAAAAUUUUAGCAUUGCUAACAGAAAUCCAUAACACAAUAAGCAACUAUCUUGACUGACUAGCCAAGUGACGAUGACACCUUCCUCUAGCAUGAAAACAGAGGGGCGAGCUUUGUUCUUGCUCAUUAUGAAAGAAUGUCUGAUGUUUUGGGUGCUGGAUCGCAACUUGCAAGCAUUAACUCAGCUUGAAAUUAACAUGUAUAUAUCUCUGCAAAACCCUAAUUUAUAAAAUUGAUUAAAGCGCAUCAAACUGUUAACUUUUUAUUUUCUUUCCGAAAUAUGUAAAUUCCAAAUGACCCAAGGACUGGUUUUAGUGGCUUACCCCUCCUAUCUACAAAGUAACGUAGGGGUGUGCAUAAAAUCGAAUUCAAAAGAAACCUGUAAAACCGAUCAAAAACCGAAUCACAUAAAGCUGAUUCAAACUGAAACUGAAAAUUUUAAAACCGAACCGAUUUUAAUAGAUGCGGUUCCGGUUAUAAGUGAAAACCGAACCGGGCCGAUUAUUAAAAAAUAAUAAAUAAUAUUUAUUUAUACAAUAUUAUAAGAAAAAUAUAUAGACUAAAUAAAUUUAUAUUAGUAUGGUUUCAUUAAGUUAAUAAUAAAUAAUAUAAGUAUGAUUGUCAAGAGUGAAUAAAGGACUAUCGUAGCAGAUACGUACACGGAAAUUUCUUGAAAAUAUCACCGGACAAAUAAUAUAAGUAUGAUUGUCAAGAGUGAAUAAAGGACAAAUAAAUAUUUUAGUUAUUAUAAGUAUGGUAUCAUUAAGUUAAUUUAUAUGAUUAGAUUGUUAUUUAUAUUAUAAUUCAUUGUAUACAAUUGAACAUAUCAUGAAUAGUUCAUUGUUCAAGCGAUGGUUUAAAUUUCAAAAUUUCUCCUCUGCCAUUAAUCUAGUUAGCUAAUUUAUUUAUUAAAUUGAAAGUAUAUUUCUUAAUUUAAUUUGUUGCGGUUUUAAAAUCGAAAUCGCACCAAUUAAAACUAAACCAUAGUUUUAAAACCGAAACCGUCGGGUCGGUUACAAUUUUCAAUUUUUAAAGGAUCUUCGGUUUCGGUUUUACCCAAAAACCGAAUCGAACCGAGGUUUGCUCACCCCUAAUGUAAUGUAUUUUAAAAGAGUAGAAACAGUUUUUCGACCUGAUUGUAUGGACAGCUGUACCAAAUCUACAAAUGGUAGCCUGUUUAGAUAAUUUUAUAUUAAAAAUGAUCUAUAAAUUAUUAAAAUAUAAUAAAAAAAAAUUUGACAGAUUAUCUAUUUAAAUGAUGAAAAUUGACAUAUUUAACAAAUAAUAAAGAUAAAUAAAUUUUUUAAAAAUAUAUUCUACUACAUUUUUAAGUUAAAAUCAGUUUUUUGUUUAUUUUUAUUUUAACUUGAAGAGAAUAAGGAUAAAACUUUCGUCAAAAUCGAAAAGUUAGUCAAAAUAAUCUACUUGAAUUUGGUCACGACCAAAUUUGGGGCAGUCGGGACUGAAUCGGAGUUGAUAUAAUGAAAUUCGAUUUUUUGACGAAUUCUCAAAGGGGUUAGUACACAGGAAUUUAAUGAAAAUUUCACCGGGAAGUGUCUUUUCAUAUUUUCGCAUAAAUGGGUCCCUAUGGAUAUAUGAAUUUGGUCAUGACCAUAUUUGGGGCAGUCGGGACUGAAUCGUAGCAGAUAUAAUGAAGUUCGAGUUUUUGACGAAUUCUCAAAUGGGUUAGUACACGGGAAUUUCUUGAAAAUAUCCCUGGGCAGUUUCUUUUGAUAUUUCCACAUAAAUAGGUCCCUAUGGAUAUAUGAAUUUGGUCACGACCAUAUUUGGGGCAGUCGGGACUGAAUCGGAGCAGAUAUAAUGAAGUUCGAGUUUUCGAAGAAUUCUCAAAGGGGUUAGUACACGGGAUUUUCAUGAAAAUUUCACCGGGAAGUUUCUUUUGAUAUUUUCACAUAAAUGGGUCCCUAUGGAUAUAUGAAUUUGGUCACGACCAAGUUUGGGGCAGUCGGGACUGAAUCGGAGCAGAUAUAAUGAAAUUCGAUUUUUUGACGAAUUCUCAAAGGGGUUAGUACACGGGAAUUUCUUGAAAAUAUCCCUGGGAAGUUUCUUUUGAUAUUUCCACAUAAAUAGGUCCCUAUGGAUAUAUGAAUUUGGUCACGACCAUAUUUGGGGCAGUCGAGACUGAAUCGGAGCAGAUAUAAUGAAGUUCGAGUUUUUGACGAAUUCUCAAAGGGGUUAGUACACGGGAAUUUCUUGAAAAUAUCCCUGGGAAGUUUAUUUUGAUAUUUCCACAUAAAUAGGUCCCUAUGGAUAUAUGAAUUUGGUCACGACCAAAUUUGGGGCAGUCGGGACUGAAUCGGAGCAGAUAUAAUGAGACAAAAACUAAGAUUUCGGUGAGCAUCUUUGAAAGUAAAAAUUGAUGGACUUUCAACAUGGACUAUGUCAUAUUUUUCUUUUAAUUAUAAAAAGUGACUUAUAAAAAGAUUACAAUAUUUUGAAGAACAUAAAAUAAGAUAACUGAAAGAAUAUUUUUAUUUAGAUUACUUUUUUAUUUUAAACUUAUGAUGAAUUCAGAAUUCGACGUGNCACAUAAAUANNNNNNNNNNNNNNNNNNNNNNNNNNNNNNNNNNNNNNNNNNNNNNNNNNNNNNNNNNNNNNNNNNNNNNNNNNNNNNNNNNNNNNNNNNNNNNNNNNNNNNNNNNNNNNNNNNNNNNNNNNNNNNNNNNNNNNNNNNNNNNNNNNNNNNNNNNNNNNNNNNNNNNNNNNNNNNNNNNNNNNNNNNNNNNNNNNNNNNNNNNNNNNNNNNNNNNNNNNNNNNNNNNNNNNNNNNNNNNNNNNNNNNNNNNNNNNNNNNNNNNNNNNNNNNNNNNNNNNNNNNNNNNNNNNNNNNNNNNNNNNNNNNNNNNNNNNNNNNNNNNNNNNNNNNNNNNNNNNNNNNNNNNNNNNNNNNNNNNNNNNNNNNNNNNNNNNNNNNNNNNNNNNNNNNNNNNNNNNNNNNNNNNNNNNNNNNNNNNNNNNNNNNNNNNNNNNNNNNNNNNNNNNNNNNNNNNNNNNNNNNNNNNNNNNNNNNNNNNNNNNNNUGCUCCACCCCUAAAGAAAUAAGAGUAUACAAAAUUAAUUUAAAAGUGUGUGAGUUUGCACAAAGCUAAAAAAGUAACUAUACGGCUAAUUAAACUAAAUAUUUCUUAUUUUUAUGAACUUCAUGGUGCCUAACUGACAUCUACUCUAUUUUUGCUAUUUGAGAUCUGGUUUAUUACAAUUACAUGAAAAAUCAUUAAAAGCCUAAAUCAACAAGCUCAGAAAACUAAUGAUAAAAAAUUAAUAUUUUAUAACAAGACAAUAUUAUAACACGCGGUAUCAAAUUAAUAAUCAUCUAAUAUUUUAAAUUAACAAAAAAAAAUUAUAAGACAUUGAAAUACUAUAUAAUUGAUAUGAAAAUUAAAAGGGUAAGCCAAAUCAAACGUGUCGAAAUUUUUCGGGUACAAUUAUAAGGUUAAUAGUUCAAUGGAUGCUUUUAUAAUAAAGUAAGGUAGGGUCUUUUACAUACAAUAUAUGUUUCAAUUAUUAUUUAUACAAGGUGUGUGCAACAUAUGAUAAAAAAGAAUGUGUUGAUGGUAUGUCCAUCAUAUAUCACUUAACUAUUACACAAACGUACGCUCAAAAAAAUAGAAAUAAAUAUAAAACAACGCGGACCACACAUCUUCAUCUAAUCAUGAUUUAGGAUAUCGUAAUUCGCAUAUCAAGAACAAGUUUUCAUAUUGGAUGAAAUAAUUUAAUAAUUUUCAACAAUAAAUUACAGAUCUUUUUAAUGAGGUAUAAUAUAUUUAAAUUCUAAAAGUUUCAGUAUUAAUUUCGAGUAUAAUUUUGAACAUGUAGAUAAUAUGGCAGUGACCUCUAUAUCCUAACGAAUUUGAAUAUAGAAAAAUCAGUUCAAAUGUUGUUUUUGAUCCAUAAUUUUUAACUAUCAAUGCUAUUAGAUUGCAAAUAUUACAUUUCAUAUUUACACAUUAUGUUAAAAAAUAGGACGUAAUAGUUAUGCUCGAAAUAAUAUGAUGACACACGAAUAUUAUUUAAAAUACAACAAAAACUAGAGUCCCGUGCCUCGCACGGAUUUUUAUGCUAGUUAUAUACAAAAGGUCUAUAAUUAGAUGUAACAUAAUAUGUUGAUUUUAUAUUCAAUAUGAUCGCUAAUUCAUUUUCUCUCCCUCCUCCUGGAUACUAUAUAUUAGGGGGCGGGACUAAUCACACAAUUAUAUUCCUAUAAAGUAUAGUUCUCUAGUUUGUAACUUGUUUUGAAGAAUUUUUUUUGUAAACAAAAAUUUAACAUCUAAGUUUUAUUUUAGGAAGAUAAAUUUUAAAAAUAUUUUGCUGAAUUAUAAUUUAUAAAAAUAUUAAAAUACAUGUCGAGCAGUUAGGUAAAAUAUAUAAAAUUAAAUGAGAUAUAAGGAGUAAAAUUUUUGUUUAAAUCGGGACAAUGUCAUUAUUAUAUAAGAAUAUAUAAUUCUUAAAUGAAUAAGUUGUGAAAUCAUAUUAUGUAUUUAACAAUGAUAAAUUAUUUAAAAUAUAAUUAAAAUUGGGUAUUUACCAAAUAUACCUCUUUUUAACAUUUUAAUUGUAAUAAUACAAUCUUCUCCCAAAAAUUGCAUAUUUACUUUCUUUUUAAGAAAAGCUACAAAAUAUUUGCAUAUAUACGACUAUGACUAUGAACUGCUUCCUGGAGUAAAAGAGAGAGAGAAACGAGCGAACUUGUUCUUGCCUCACCCCUUCCCCCUCUCUGGCUCAUUCUGAUCUGUUUCUCUCUCCUUCCUCUCUCUUCUGCCUCCAUCUCUUCCUGCUCUCUCUCUAUCUCUUUCUCCGAUCCAUUGAUUAUGUCGGCCGUACUUUCUCCGAUCACAAAACCCUAGGUACUCAUUGUGAGUACAAUCUUCGUGGUGUUCUUGAUGAUUGUUGGAUUGGUGAUUAUAGUGGAUACAUACAAGAUGAGUUUAAAAGAAGGGAGAAAUGUCGAAAUAGAAGCUCCUAAACGUGGUUGCUGGUGUUGAUUUUGUGUGAAUAUAUUUUGUUUUUUGUUAUCCUUCAUCUCUGUAGGAAGUUUUGGUUAGUGAUGGUUACUUGUGGUUGCAAAACUUGUUGAUUUUGCUUUUGGCCCCGCAGGGGCAUUUAUUUUUCUGCCUUUGCAACUUAUUAUGCAACUUAAUAUAAUUUUAGCAUUUUUUAAAAAAAAAGUUACAUAUGUAGUUGAAAGUAUGGUUGCUCGUAGUUGCAGAUUUGGUUGCAUGUGCAAAAUCGUAUUUUUGCAAGAAAAAAUUGAAUGAUAGUAUUUUUGCAAUUUAUUUUAAAAAAUGAUAGUAUUUUUGCAAAAUUUCUUUUUGACUUGGGUAUUUGUGAAAAAAGCCCAUUAAAAUUUAUAUGUAUUAUUUUGGAUCUUUGCAUAAAUAAUUCAAGGGCUCAUUAAAAAUUUAUUUUUAAAAAAAACAUUUUUUAGAUAUAAAGAUUGACAAAAUAAUAAUAAAGACUUAUUUCACAAAAAAGAAAAUCUCAUAAAAAAAUUUCAAAAAUAAAAUUUUAUUUAAAAGAUACUCGCUCCGUUCCUUUUUAUUAGUCGCUUUAAUUUUUUGCACGUAUUUUGAGGUGCAAUAAAAACGUAUUUCUACACGUUAUUUUCUAAAUUUUCUUUUUUGAAUAAAAAUAUAGAUGUUAAACUUUUAUUCAGAAAAAGAAAAUUUGAAAAUAAUACGUGUAACUAUAUUUUUUUUGGGCUUUUCUCAUAAAUACCCAAGUCUAAAAGAAUUUUUGCGAAAAUACUAUCAUUUUUUAAGACAAAUUGCAAAAAUAAUAUCUUUCAAAAAAAAUUGCAAAAAUACGGUGGUUGCAUAUGCAACCUUAUCUGCAACUAUAGCAACCAUAUACGCAGCCACAAAUGCAAAUUUGAAAAAAUUUAUCAAAAAUUAUAUUAAGUUGCAUAACAAGUUGCAAUCAGUUGCAACAAAAAGAAAAAUGAAUGCCCCUGCGAGGCCAAAAUCAAAAUCAACCACUAUUAUAACUAGAAUCAACCAACACCAACCAAACCUCAAAAACACAAAAGAAAAGUGCGGUGAACAGAGUCGAUGUGGGUUAGGGUUUAGAAAAGGUAUCGCUAGUGGGAGCAAUCAUCAGUCCAAUCGACACCGCAAAUAUAAUUAUCGAUCCAACCAUCAUCAAGAACACCAUAAGUAUGCCUCGGAUUUCACGAUGAACAAUCAUCAGAUCGAUUUUUGGAUGAGAUAGGGAGAAAGGAGGAGAAAAGAGCAGAGGAAGAAAAAUAGAAAGAGAGAGAGCGAGAAGAGAUGUUGGUAGAAGAGAGAGCGGGUGGAGAGAGAGACAAAGAGUAAGAGAGAAGGGAGAGAGAGAGACAGAGAGUAAGAGAGAAGGGAGAAACGGAUAGACAUGGAGCAGAAAGGGUGUGGCUGAGUCUGUAUUUGUGCAAAUGUUUCAAUCAGAGUCUCAAAAAAAACGUACAUUUGCAAUAUUUUAGGUAGGUAGUAAUUUUAUUAAAAUAUUAAAAAGAGGUAUAUUUGGUAAAUACCCUAUUUUUUUUACACUCUCGGCACAAAGUCAAAGCGACGGAGGGAGUGUUUAACCAAACAGACCUUCUAAUUUCUAUGUUUAAAACAAUUUUCCAGAAAUCGCUAGGCGUCCCAGGGCGGUCGGGGUACCUUCUAGCAAUUAAUCGAGAAAUCGGGGAUUAAUCGGAGUAUUAAUCGGACAUAUAUUAUUUUUAAAUUAUUAUAACUAAAUAUAUUUUAAUAAUUUUAUCUACUUUUCACUACUAGUAGAGUCAAACUGGUAAACAAUAUAAUAUCAUAUAUUAAAAAUAAAUACUUGAUACAUGUAAUACAAAAUCAUUGAUUGAAUAAAUAUAUACCAAUCAGUAUCUUAUAAAUAAUGUAAAAAAUAUUAAAUAAAAUUAUUUAUUUUACUUUUUUUAUAGGAUAUUAAGGUACUGUUUGGGGUUGCUGUUGCAGACAGCAACAACAACUUUUUACUGAAAAGCAGGUGAAAAACUGUUUGGUAAAUCGAAAAGCAGCUUUUCCGAACAGCAGUUUUUGACUGAAAAGCUGCUGUUAGAAAAAGCAGGUCCUCCCAUGCUUUUGGAAAAAGCUGCUUUUCAGCUUUUGCAGAAUGCUGUUAUAGAUUUCAUUAUAAAAUCUAACCAAAAACAUUUUUUUUUAUAUUAUAACUCAAAAUAAGUAAAUAUAAAAAAUUACCAAACAGUUAUCUGAUUUCUGCACCAGCACUUAUUUUACCAGCACUUUUUCUGACAGCACAGCAAUUUUUAACAGCACUCCCAAACAGACCCUAAGUUAAGUACAAGUGAAUAUUUAAUUUUUUAUAAUAUAAUCAUAAUUUUAGAUUUUAUUUAUUAAAAAAAAAUUCUUUUGUUAUUGGCCGCCUCGACCGCCUAGGCGGGAUGUGGACCGCCUAGACGGGAUUUUGACCGCCUAGACGGGAUUUUUGUAAAAAACGCCUAAGACCGAAUCGGGGCGUUUCGGUGCCGUCUAGCGUCUAGGCACCCCCUAGGCGGCUGCUAUGCUUAGGGGUGAGCGUGGUUCGGUUCGGGGCGGUUUUAAGGCAAAACCGGAACCGGAACCGGAACCGGAACCGCGAAUCUUCGGUUUUUAAAAUUAAAAACCGAAACCGCAACCGAACCGUCGGAUCGGGUUCGGUUUCAAAAGCCUCGGUUCGGUUUUAGUCGGUUCGGUUUCGGUUAUAAAACCGCAAGAAAUGAGAAAAAGAAAAAAAAUUACGUAUUAAAUCUUUAAAAUUUAUUUUACAACAUUAAAAGUUAUAACUUUGUAUCUUUACGGUAUUAGAUCGAUGAAAGAGUCCAAGGUUGUGAGUUUAUGAUUUUGAUAGUAUGCUUCGUGCUACUCUUUUGGAUAAAAUCUAAGGUAUGUAAAAAAAUCGAACCUAAUUCAAGUAUUCUCCGACCUAUACCAAACUAUAAUCUAAAUUCUAUAUAUCACUUAGUUACGGUUCAUGAUAUAUUAAUAUAAAUAUAUGUAUAUAUUAUCUUAAUACACACGUGUAUAUAUGUACAUAUAUAAAUAUAUUUAUAUAUUUAUAUUUAUAUAUGUAUUAUAAUUUAUAAAUAAUAUUUAUUUAUUUAUUUUAAACAAUCGGUUCGGUUCGGUUUAUUUCGGUUCGGUUUUAAUCUAAAACCGGAACCGCAACCAUUAGAAUCGGUUCGGUUUUUUAAUUUGCGGUUUCGGUUCGGUGCGGUUUUAUACGGUUCGGUUUUCAUCGGUUUUUAACGGUUUCGGUUCGGUUUCGGUUUCAAUUCGGUUUUUUGCUCACCCCUAGCUAUGCUGAUUUUUAGACUACUGGUUUAAAACGAGGUUUUGACGACAGUUUUACUUUUAUACUUUCGUUCAAAAAUUUAUUCAUUGGGACAUUAUUGUCAUUCAUCAAAAAUAAUUCAUAUUCAUAUUUACUCCCUCUGUCCCAUUUAAUUGUAUACGUUUCUUUUCAACUGCUCGACACGCAUUUCAAUACUCUUAUAAAAUAUAGUUCCGUAAUUUAUUUUUGAGAUUUUCUUUUUCUGAAUAAAAAUAUAACAUCCAAACUUUAAUUCAGAAAAAGAAAAUUUUAAAAAUAAAUUACACAACUACACUCUACAGGAGCAUUAAAGUCCGUGCCGCGUCCCCGUCCCCCGAUGUAUACAACUCAGGGGACGGAGGGAGUAACGAAUAAGCCUUCGGGUUUGCGAGGUUUGAAACGAAAAUAAAAGGGGUACAGUAAUAGAAGGAUCUAGAAACCCUAAUCUGGUUAUAUAGUCUCCGCCUCUUGAUUAAUUCAAGUCAGCUUCUUUCUUGUUGUAAUCUCAAACCCUAGAUCUUCAAUCAACUCGUCUCUCUUUCUCUAAUGGCGGACACUGAGACAUUUGCUUUUCAAGCCGAGAUUAAUCAGCUUCUGAGCUUGAUUAUCAACACUUUUUACAGCAACAAGGAGAUCUUUCUUCGUGAACUCAUCAGUAACGCUUCUGAUGUAAGUCUUCUAGUUACAUAUUUCUUUUGCUUAUACUUCUUAUUUUCUUUGUUUCUUGUUGUAUUAGAUUGGUUGUUUUUUUUUAAUUUAAAUCGAUUCUUAAUAUUAUGUGGUUAGGUUGUUUUUCAUUUGAUUAGAAUUAAUAUUCAUGUGUUCUAGUACUCUUUGGAAUUUUAUUGUUUAAUGUAAUUCAACAUUUUGCUUCGAUAUAUUAAAGUUUGAAUAAUAAUCUGGGUAUUAAGAUGUGUUAAAAUUCAAAUCUUAAGCUGGCUAUUAAAUGGCAAGGGUUCAACUCCAUCUCACCCUCGAGAAUUAUUUGAGAAUAUAUACUAAAUUUGGAUGCAGUGAGUCUUGUUGUUAAAUAUAUAAAUCACAGUAUUGAAUGCUUAAUACAUGGAGUGACGAGUUGACCUCCUUACAUCUACAGCUAAUCUGUUUGAGUUGCUCUUACAAAUUUUGGUAAACUAAAAAGUUGUUUGAUUGAGAUCCUCUUCACAUACAUUAAUGAAUGCUUGUAUUCAGUUGUGAUGAGGUCACACUAGCAUGAGCUCUAUGGUACAAAUUGUCGGACUUGGCCAAUAAUGUUUUGCUUCCGUGCAGGCUCUAGAUAAAAUUCGCUUUGAAAGCUUGACGGACAAGACAAAGCUCGAUGCCCAGCCAGAGCUCUUUAUCCACAUCAUUCCAGACAAGGCCAGCAAUACCCUGACACUAAUUGAUAGUGGCAUUGGCAUGACCAAAGCUGGCGAGUGACAGUGUCUUAUAGAUUUAUUAAUGUUCAUGUAUAUGUAUCUGUUUGGCCUCACUCAUUGUCUUAUAUUUUAAUUUCAGAUUUGGUAAACAAUUUGGGUACCAUUGCAAGGUCUGGUACUAAAGAAUUCAUGGAAGCUCUUGCUGCGGGUGCUGAUGUUAGCAUGAUUGGACAGUUUGGUGUUGGUUUCUAUUCUGCCUACCUUGUUGCUGAGAAGGUUAUUGUAACCACUAAGCAUAACGACGAUGAACAGUAUGUUUGGGAAUCCCAAGCUGGUGGAUCUUUCACCGUUACCAGAGAUACUUCUGGAGAGGUUCUUGGAAGGGGUACAAAAAUUGUUCUCCAUCUUAAAGAGGACCAGCUAGAAUACCUUGAGGAGCGCAGGCUCAAGGAUCUUGUGAAGAAGCAUUCUGAGUUCAUCAGCUACCCAAUCUCUUUAUGGAUUGAGAAGACCACCGAAAAAGAAAUUUCAGAUGACGAGGAUGAGGAAGAAAAGAAAGACGAGGAAGGCAAGGUAGAGGAAGUUGAUGAAGAGAAGGAGAAGGAAGAAAAGAAAAAGAAGAAGAUUAAAGAAGUGUCUCAUGAGUGGUCCUUGGUUAACAAACAGAAGCCCAUCUGGAUGAGGAAGCCUGAGGAGAUCACCAAGGAGGAGUAUGCUGCCUUCUACAAGAGCCUUACUAAUGACUGGGAGGAGCACUUGAACGUAAAGCACUUCUCUGUUGAAGGCCAGCUUGAAUUUAAAGCUGUUCUAUUUGUUCCUAAGAGGGCACCCUUUGAUCUCUUUGACACGAAGAAGAAGCAGAACAACAUUAAGCUGUAUGUCCGUCGUGUUUUCAUCAUGGACAACUGUGAGGAUUUGAUCCCAGAAUACCUGAGCUUCGUUAAGGGUAUUGUUGAUUCCGAGGAUCUCCCCCUUAACAUUUCUAGGGAGAUGCUGCAGCAGAACAAAAUUCUUAAGGUCAUUCGCAAGAACUUGGUGAAGAAGUGCCUUGAACUCUUCUUUGAGAUUGCAGAGAACAAAGAAGAUUACAACAAAUUCUAUGAAGCUUUUUCAAAGAACCUUAAGCUUGGCAUUCAUGAAGAUUCCCAGAACAAAACAAAGAUUGCUGAGUUGCUCAGGUACCACUCUACUAAGAGUGGGGAGGAAAUGACCAGCCUGAAGGACUAUGUCACCAGGAUGAAAGAGAACCAGAGUGAGAUCUAUUACAUUACUGGGGAGAGCAAGAAGGCUGUUGAGAACUCUCCUUUCCUUGAGAGGUUGAAGAAGAAAGGUUAUGAAGUGCUGUACAUGGUUGAUGCUAUUGAUGAGUACGCUGUGGGUCAGUUGAAGGAAUUUGAGGGUAAGAAGUUAGUUUCUGCUACCAAAGAGGGGCUUAAACUCGAGGAGAGUGAAGAUGAGAAAAAGAAAAAGGAGGAACUGAAGGAGAAGUUUGAGGGACUCUGCAAGGUUGUUAAAGAUGUUUUGGGGGACAGAGUUGAGAAGGUUAUCGUUUCUGAUCGUGUAGUGGAUUCACCUUGUUGCUUAGUUACUGGUGAGUAUGGCUGGACUGCUAACAUGGAGAGGAUCAUGAAGGCCCAGGCUUUGAGGGAUUCAAGCAUGGGUGGUUAUAUGUCAAGCAAAAAGACAAUGGAAAUUAACCCUGAGAAUGCUAUAAUGGAGGAGCUCAGAAAGAGGGCUGAUGCUGACAAGAACGACAAGUCUGUUAAAGACUUGGUUCUCUUGCUCUUUGAGACAGCUCUCCUUACCUCUGGAUUCAGCCUUGAGGAGCCCAACACCUUUGGCAACAGGAUCCACAGAAUGUUGAAGCUUGGUUUGAGCAUUGAUGAUGAUGAUGAAGUGGUCGAGGCUGAAGACAUGCCUUCACUGGAAGAAGCUGAUGCUGACGCAGAGGGCAGCAAGAUGGAAGAAGUGGAUUAAAUGUUCUCUUCUAGUGCAUGCUAAUC
This 12375-nucleotide long non-coding RNA is filed under the name Daucus carota (carrot). RNAcentral describes it as "long non-coding RNA (DCAR_LNC003463)". The record is from RNAcentral. Lineage: Eukaryota; Viridiplantae; Streptophyta; Magnoliopsida; Apiales; Apiaceae.